AAAUUACUUAGUGGCGGACGGGCGAGUAACACGUGAGCAACCUGCCUCUACAGGGGGAAUAACAACGGGAAACCGUUGCUAAUACCGCAUAACAUGUUGAAAGGGCAUCCUUUUUUAACAUCAAAGGAGCAAUCCGGUAAGAGAUGGCUCGCGUCCGAUUAGCUAGUUGGUAGGGUAACGGCCCCUACCCAAGGCGACGAUCGGUAGCCGGGACUGAGAGGUCGAACGGCCGCAUUGGGACUGAGACACGGCCCAGACUCCUACGGGAGGCAGCAGUGGGGAAUAUUGGGCAAUGGGCGAAAGCCUGACCCAGCAACGCCGCGUGAGUGAUGAAGGCCUUCGGGUUGUAAAACUCUUUGGACAGGGGACGAAGAAAGUGACGGUACCUGUAGAACAAGCCACGGCUAACUACGUGCCAGCAGCCGCGGUAAU
RNAcentral lists this ribosomal RNA (432 nucleotides) under uncultured Oscillospiraceae bacterium. RNAcentral describes it as "bacterial SSU rRNA". It matches the Rfam family "Bacterial small subunit ribosomal RNA", at positions 85 to 524 of the family's 1533-position model. The record is from RNAcentral. Lineage: Bacteria; Bacillati; Bacillota; Clostridia; Eubacteriales; Oscillospiraceae.